Eublepharis macularius is the source of this 147-nucleotide small nuclear RNA. RefSeq annotates it as U4 spliceosomal RNA. NCBI's taxonomy places the organism in Eukaryota, Metazoa, Chordata, Lepidosauria, Squamata, Eublepharidae. The record is from RefSeq and is a predicted model, not a curated record. The transcript has a single exon.
AACUUUGCGCAGUGGCAAUAUCGUAGCCUAUGAGGUUAAACCGAGGCGCGAUUAUUGCUAAUUGAAACUUUGCCUAAAUAAUAAAGAUAUUAUCGCUGUUGCAGGAAGAACUGCCACAUCUAAGUGAAUAGAAACUCUCUUUGGUGA